GCGGGCGGCGUAACGUCAUGAUUAAUAAGAGUUUAUGGUCGUCUAUCUGGAUUUAGGUUCCAGUGGCGCAAGCUGUGAGAGUUCGAGUCUCUCCGUCCGCACCA
This 104-nucleotide transfer RNA is filed under the name Pseudomonas multiresinivorans. RNAcentral's name for it is "tRNA-OTHER". The record is from RNAcentral. Lineage: Bacteria; Pseudomonadati; Pseudomonadota; Gammaproteobacteria; Pseudomonadales; Pseudomonadaceae.